GAUGAACGCUGGCGGCGUGCCUAAUACAUGCAAGUCGAGCGAACGGACGAGAAGCUUGCUUCUCUGAUGUUAGCGGCGGACGGGUGAGUAACACGUGGAUAACCUACCUAUAAGACUGGGAUAACUUCGGGAAACCGGAGCUAAUACCGGAUAAUAUUUUGAACCGCAUGGUUCAAAAGUGAAAGACGGUCUUGCUGUCACUUAUAGAUGGAUCCGCGCUGCAUUAGCUAGUUGGUAAGGUAACGGCUUACCAAGGCAACGAUGCAUAGCCGAACUGAGAGGGUGAUCGGCCACACUGGAACUGAGACGCGGUCCAGACUCCUACGGGAGGCAGCAGUAGGGAAUCUUACGCAAUGGGCGAAAGCCUGACGGAGCAACGCCGCGUGAGUGAUGAAGGUCUUCGGAUCGUAAAACUCUGUUAUUAGGGAAGAACAUAUGUGUAAGUAACUGUGCACAUCUUGACGGUACCUAAUCAGAAAGCCACGGCUAACUACGUG
Molecule: ribosomal RNA, 497 nt
Filed under: uncultured bacterium
Lineage: Bacteria
Description: partial 16S ribosomal RNA
Rfam family: Bacterial small subunit ribosomal RNA
Source: RNAcentral